CUGCCUCCGGGUUCAAGUGAUUCUCCUGCCUCAGCCUCCCAAGUAGCUGGGACUACAGGUGCACGCCACCACACCCAGCUAAUUUUUGUAUUUUUAGCAGAGAUUGGUUUUCACUAUGUUGGCCAGGAUGGUCUCGAUCUCUUGACCUCAUGAUCCACCUGCCUCGGCCUCCCAAAGUGCUGGGAUUACAGGAAUGAGCCACUGCGCCCAGACUUCAUCUGUAUUUUUAACUGUACCUUUCCAAAGGAUGCCAUUGGAAGGACAUUGAUUUAACUUAACUAGGGGGAAAUGUCUUUGCUUUGGUGUGUGUCUCUGGUUUGGCUUCUCUAGUCUCUACUUUUAACACCAGGAUUUGAAAGAUGAAAGAGCUUGAGGGUGGUUUUAUUGUCAAGUAGCAUCUAAUCGAUGGGUAGCAGAGGGUUUUAUUAAAGCUGUAAAUUCAAUUUCCUAGGAAUUUUGAAGGUUCAGAAGGGUUCUGGAGGGCAAAAAUAUGGUAAAACACUGCUUUUUUUUCAGCCAGAAAUGUACAUAAUGGUUACAGAUUGUCAAAGACUGGAGCUAAAGGGUAAAGUAACCAUGGCCUUUUUGUUGUCACUAUUUAGUUUGUGUAGUUGCCAAGUGUGUUUCUAAUGCAACCUUAGGUCAUCGGCAUUAAAAAAGUUUUGUGUAAAUAUCAUUUACUGCCUCAAGUCCUUGCUCUUUCACCCUAAAGAUUUGGAAAGUUAAAAAAAAAAAAAAGCCUGCUAAUCGCCUCUGGGUGUUACCAGCCUGCAUUAGCUCUAAGGCAAUCCAUCCCUCAGCAUGGGACUCCC
This 812-nucleotide long non-coding RNA is filed under the name Homo sapiens (human). Its description in RNAcentral is "HSALNT0105826". The record is from RNAcentral. Lineage: Eukaryota; Metazoa; Chordata; Mammalia; Primates; Hominidae.